This 28-nucleotide non-coding RNA is filed under the name Mus musculus (house mouse). Lineage: Eukaryota; Metazoa; Chordata; Mammalia; Rodentia; Muridae. The record is from RNAcentral.
UGGUGAUCCGAAGCAUUCCAGAGGCAAU